CCUACGGGAGGCUGCAGUAGGGAAUUUUCGGCAAUGGGGGGAACCCUGACCGAGCAACGCCGCGUGAACGAAGAAGUUAUUCGUAAUGUAAAGUUCUUUUAACAGGGAAGAAAGAGAAAUUUGACGGUACCUGAAGAAUAAGAUCCGGCUAACUACGUGCCAGCAGCCGCGGUAAUACGUAGGCAGCGAGCGUUAUCCGGAAUUAUUGGGCGAAAAGGGUGCGUAGAUGGCAUAGUAAGUCUUUUGUAAAAAUGCGGGGCUCAACCCAGUAGGGCAAAAGAUACUGCAAAGCUAGAGUAUGACAGAGGCAAGUGGAACUAGAGGUGUAGCGGUAAAAUGCGUAAAUAUAUGUAAGAACACCAGUGGCGAAGGCGGCUUGCUGGGUCGAUACUGACAUUGAGGCACGAAAGCGUGGGGAGCGAACAGGAUUAAAUACCCCGGUAGUC
RNAcentral lists this ribosomal RNA (446 nucleotides) under uncultured bacterium. RNAcentral describes it as "partial 16S ribosomal RNA". It matches the Rfam family "Bacterial small subunit ribosomal RNA", at positions 338 to 795 of the family's 1533-position model. The record is from RNAcentral.